Molecule: ribosomal RNA, 301 nt
Filed under: uncultured bacterium
Lineage: Bacteria
Description: partial 16S ribosomal RNA
Rfam family: Bacterial small subunit ribosomal RNA
Source: RNAcentral
CAGUCGCCGCGGGAAUACGUAGGGUGCAAGCGUUAAUCGGAAUUACUGGGCGUAAAGCGUGCGCAGGCGGUUAUAUAAGACAGAUGUGAAAUCCCCGGGCUCAACCUGGGAACUGCAUUUGUGACUGUAUAGCUAGAGUACGGCAGAGGGGGAUGGAAUUCCGCGUGUAGCAGUGAAAUGCGUAGAUAUGCGGAGGAACACCGAUGGCGAAGGCAAUCCCCUGGGCCUGUACUGACGCUCAUGCACGAAAGCGUGGGGAGCAAACAGGAUUAGAUACCCCCGUAGUCCCUGUCUCUUAUCA